Molecule: long non-coding RNA, 273 nt
Filed under: Homo sapiens (human)
Lineage: Eukaryota; Metazoa; Chordata; Mammalia; Primates; Hominidae
Description: LHRI_LNC2095.1
Source: RNAcentral
GCCCGGGUGGGGUGGCUGCGGUCAUGUGUUCUUGCAGGGUUCAUGGCUCGCUGAGACAUUGGAUGGUCUGUGUGUGUCACUGUGAUCAGAUGUGGAUGUAACCCCACUGCGGUGGAGCCUGUCAGGGACACAGGAGCCAACAAAGCGAGAACCCGGCGGCCAGGGUAGGGACAGCUCGACCUGCAGGAGGGUCAGGCCACAUUGGAUCAUGACUUGAAGCAGAGCAUGGUGGUCCCUGGGUUCACACCACCAUAGUGAGCAGAUACAGAUGCG